Molecule: ribosomal RNA, 424 nt
Filed under: uncultured bacterium
Lineage: Bacteria
Description: partial 16S ribosomal RNA
Rfam family: Bacterial small subunit ribosomal RNA
Source: RNAcentral
GUGGGGAAUCUUAGACAAUGGGCGCAAGCCUGAUCUAGCCAUGCUGCGUGAGCGAUGAAGGCCUUAGGGUUGUAAAGCUCUUUCGCUGGGGAAGAUAAUGACUGUACCCAGUAAGAAGCCCCGGCUAACUCCGUGCCAGCAGCCGCGGUAAUACGGAGGGGGCUAGCGUUGUUCGGAAUUACUGGGCGUAAAGCGCGCGUAGGCGGAUUGGAAAGUUGGGGGUGAAAUCCCGGGGCUCAACCUCGGAACUGCCUUCAAAACUCCCAGUCUUGAGUUCGAGAGAGGUGAGUGGAAUUCCGAGUGUAGAGGUGAAAUUCGUAGAUAUUCGGAGGAACACCAGUGGCGAAGGCGGCUCACUGGCUCGAUACUGACGCUGAGGUGCGAAAGCGUGGGGAGCAAACAGGAUUAGAAACCCGGGUAGUCC